UCCUACGGGAGGCAGCAGUGAGGAAUAUUGGUCAAUGGGCGAGAGCCUGAACCAGCCAAGUCGCGUGAAGGAUGAAGGUUCUAUGGAUUGUAAACUUCUUUUGUAAGGGAAUAAAAAAAGGUACGUGUACUUUAUUGUAUGUACUUUACGAAUAAGGAUCGGCUAACUCCGUGCCAGCAGCCGCGGUAAUACGGAGGAUCCAAGCGUUAUCCGGAUUUAUUGGGUUUAAAGGGUGCGUAGGCGGGUUUUUAAGUCAGUGGUGAAAGUUUGCGGCUCAACCGUAAAAUUGCCAUUGAAACUGAAGACCUUGAGUGUAAAUGAGGUAGGCGGAAUGUGUUGUGUAGCGGUGAAAUGCUUAGAUAUAACACAGAACACCAAUUGCGAAGGCAGCUUACUGGGAUACAACUGACGCUGAGGCACGAAAGCGUGGGGAUCAAACAGGAUUAGAUACCCGUGUAGUCC
Molecule: ribosomal RNA, 462 nt
Filed under: uncultured bacterium
Lineage: Bacteria
Description: bacterial SSU rRNA
Rfam family: Bacterial small subunit ribosomal RNA
Source: RNAcentral